RNAcentral lists this ribosomal RNA (611 nucleotides) under uncultured bodonid. Its description in RNAcentral is "bacterial SSU rRNA". It matches the Rfam family "Eukaryotic small subunit ribosomal RNA", at positions 104 to 658 of the family's 1831-position model. Lineage: Eukaryota; Euglenozoa; Kinetoplastea; Eubodonida; Bodonidae. The record is from RNAcentral.
CAUCAGACGCAAUCUGCCGCAAAAAUGUUGCGGAAACGCAUUAUUGGAUACCUUGUGCGAAACGCCAAGCUAAUACAUGAACUAAGGGGUUCAUCCCGUUCCACACGCUGGAGGUUUACUGAAGGCGUGGUGGGUGGCCCUGCGGAUGAAUGAAAGUACAAACCAAUGCCUCGCAAGGGGCAGUAAUACGGAGAAGUGCUGAAUCAAUUCAUCUUUGCGAAAGCCGGCUUGCCGGCGUAUUUUGACGAACAACUGCCCUAUCAGCCAUGAUGGCCGUGUAGUGGACUGCCAUGGCGUUGACGGGAGCGGGGGAUUAGGGUUCGAUUCCGGAGAGGGAGCCUGAGAAAUGGCUACCACUUCUACGGAGGGCAGCAGGCGCGCAAAUUGCCCAAUGCCAAAACAAAUGAUGAGGCAGCGAAAAGAAAUAGGUGCCCCAAACGCCUUGUGUGUUUGGGGCUUUCAAUGGGGGAUAUUUAAAACCAUCCAACAUCGAGUAACAAUUGGAGGACAAGUCUGGUGCCAGCACCCGCGGUAAUUCCAGCUCCAAGAGCGUAUAUUAACGCUGUUGCUGUUAAAGGGUUCGUAGUUGAACUGUGGGCCGCGACGACGGG